Molecule: long non-coding RNA, 234 nt
Filed under: Populus trichocarpa (black cottonwood)
Lineage: Eukaryota; Viridiplantae; Streptophyta; Magnoliopsida; Malpighiales; Salicaceae
Description: long non-coding RNA (PTRI_LNC000207)
Source: RNAcentral
UCUAACAAAGCACUUUAUCAGGGUAGCGAUUCUUCCACUACCAUCAACAUCAGCAGCGGCUCCACCACCACCAACGGCGGCAAUAGCUGGUAAGCUAUUAUGUAGGGAAAUUAGAUUUGAUUUGAGCAGGCCUGUUUUGAUUUCAUCUCUUUUCUUCUUAUUUAUUCAUCGUGAUUUUAACAACUUUUAAAAUAUAUAUAUAUAUAUAAACAACGCCUCCGUAAACAUCUGAAC